UUAGGAAAAAUGUGGAGAAUGGAAAAAAUGCAGACAUGAGUCAAGCAUCAGUUCUUUACAUCAGGAUCUAAGGGUUGGCCAAAUUUAUGCAUAGACAUAUAAAUCUCUUUGGCAAGGCACUGAGACUUAUCUGCUACUGUAAAAAGCCUUUAGAAAUAUAGAGUAACAGUUCAUUGAGCCUCCAGCCCAUCUAGAGACUUGAUAUGUGGAAAGCUUGAGUGGAAACUCGAGUUUCAGAUCCAAAAAUAAUUUUGCUACAGCCUGUGUGGUUCUUCCAGGUGUUUUGGUUUAAGUUUACAUGUAACAUAUGGAGAAUUCAGAAACAGUUUGCCAAGUUUUAUCUCAGGUUGGACUGUGUCCAGAGAAGGUGACUGCAGUAGUAACAGCUUUGGAAACUGGUCACCUGAGAGUCAACUGGAGGAUGUGGAGAUGCAAGGCGCGAGUGAAGUGUUUCGUGUGGAAGGCAGCAUACAUCUCCGUAGGAGUCAUAAGGAUGGAGAACUGCAGUUGCUAGAUGAAGUCCCUGCAGAGAUACAGAACUUUACAGAGCUUUCUAACUGGCCUUGGAAUAGCC
Non-coding RNA from Myodes glareolus (Bank vole), 574 nucleotides. NCBI's taxonomy places the organism in Eukaryota, Metazoa, Chordata, Mammalia, Rodentia, Cricetidae. The record is from RefSeq and is a predicted model, not a curated record.